Molecule: non-coding RNA, 80 nt
Organism: Rattus norvegicus (Norway rat)
Lineage: Eukaryota; Metazoa; Chordata; Mammalia; Rodentia; Muridae
Source: Rfam
GGGGAUUUAGCUCAGUGGUAGAGCGCUUGCCUAGCAAGAGCAAGGCUCUAGCAAGGCCCUGGGUUCGGUCCCCAGCUCCG